GGUGAGGUGUCCGAGUGGCUGAAGGAGCACGCCUGGAAAGUGUGUAUACGGCAACGUAUCGGGGGUUCGAACUCCCCCCCUCACCGCCA
This 89-nucleotide transfer RNA is filed under the name Klebsiella pneumoniae. RNAcentral's name for it is "tRNA-Ser". It matches the Rfam family "tRNA". From Rfam's summary of the family: Transfer RNA (tRNA) molecules are approximately 80 nucleotides in length. Their secondary structure includes four short double-helical elements and three loops (D, anti-codon, and T loops). The record is from RNAcentral. RNAcentral also lists the same sequence under 1 other name. Lineage: Bacteria; Pseudomonadati; Pseudomonadota; Gammaproteobacteria; Enterobacterales; Enterobacteriaceae.